Molecule: ribosomal RNA, 964 nt
Filed under: Enterococcus faecalis
Lineage: Bacteria; Bacillati; Bacillota; Bacilli; Lactobacillales; Enterococcaceae
Description: bacterial SSU rRNA
Rfam family: Bacterial small subunit ribosomal RNA
Source: RNAcentral
CUUUCCUCCCGAGUGCUUGCACUCAAUUGGAAAGAGGAGUGGCGGACGGGUGAGUAACACGUGGGUAACCUACCCAUCAGAGGGGGAUAACACUUGGAAACAGGUGCUAAUACCGCAUAACAGUUUAUGCCGCAUGGCAUAAGAGUGAAAGGCGCUUUCGGGUGUCGCUGAUGGAUGGACCCGCGGUGCAUUAGCUAGUUGGUGAGGUAACGGCUCACCAAGGCCACGAUGCAUAGCCGACCUGAGAGGGUGAUCGGCCACACUGGGACUGAGACACGGCCCAGACUCCUACGGGAGGCAGCAGUAGGGAAUCUUCGGCAAUGGACGAAAGUCUGACCGAGCAACGCCGCGUGAGUGAAGAAGGUUUUCGGAUCGUAAAACUCUGUUGUUAGAGAAGAACAAGGACGUUAGUAACUGAACGUCCCCUGACGGUAUCUAACCAGAAAGCCACGGCUAACUACGUGCCAGCAGCCGCGGUAAUACGUAGGUGGCAAGCGUUGUCCGGAUUUAUUGGGCGUAAAGCGAGCGCAGGCGGUUUCUUAAGUCUGAUGUGAAAGCCCCCGGCUCAACCGGGGAGGGUCAUUGGAAACUGGGAGACUUGAGUGCAGAAGAGGAGAGUGGAAUUCCAUGUGUAGCGGUGAAAUGCGUAGAUAUAUGGAGGAACACCAGUGGCGAAGGCGGCUCUCUGGUCUGUAACUGACGCUGAGGCUCGAAAGCGUGGGGAGCAAACAGGAUUAGAUACCCUGGUAGUCCACGCCGUAAACGAUGAGUGCUAAGUGUUGGAGGGUUUCCGCCCUUCAGUGCUGCAGCAAACGCAUUAAGCACUCCGCCUGGGGAGUACGACCGCAAGGGUUGAAACUCAAAGGAAUUGACGGGGGCCCGCACAAGCGGUGGAGCAUGUGGGUUUAAUUCGAAGCAACGCGAGAACCUUACCAGGUCUUGACAUCCUUUGACCACUCUAGAG